Molecule: ribosomal RNA, 1211 nt
Filed under: metagenome
Description: bacterial SSU rRNA
Rfam family: Bacterial small subunit ribosomal RNA
Source: RNAcentral
CCUUGGAACUGAGACACGGUCCAGACUCCUACGGGAGGCAGCAGUGGGGAAUUUUGGACAAUGGGCGCAAGCCUGAUCCAGCAAUGCCGCGUGAGUGAAGAAGGCCUUCGGGUUGUAAAGCUCUUUUGUCAGGGAAGAAACGGCCGUUUCUAAUACAGAUGGCUAAUGACGGUACCUGAAGAAUAAGCACCGGCUAACUACGUGCCAGCAGCCGCGGUAAUACGUAGGGUGCAAGCGUUAAUCGGAAUUACUGGGCGUAAAGCGUGCGCAGGCGGUUUUGUAAGUCUGUCGUGAAAUCCCCGGGCUCAACCUGGGAAUGGCGAUGGAGACUGCAAGGCUAGAGUUUGGCAGAGGGGGGUAGAAUUCCACGUGUAGCAGUGAAAUGCGUAGAUAUGUGGAGGAACACCGAUGGCGAAGGCAGCCCCCUGGGUCAAAACUGACGCUCAUGCACGAAAGCGUGGGGAGCAAACAGGAUUAGAUACCCUGGUAGUCCACGCCCUAAACGAUGUCUACUAGUUGUCGGGCCUUAAUUGACUUGGUAACGCAGCUAACGCGUGAAGUAGACCGCCUGGGGAGUACGGUCGCAAGAUUAAAACUCAAAGGAAUUGACGGGGACCCGCACAAGCGGUGGAUGAUGUGGAUUAAUUCGAUGCAACGCGAAAAACCUUACCUACCCUUGACAUGGAUGGAAUUCCGGAGAGAUUUGGAAGUGCCCGAAAGGGAACCAUUACACAGGUGCUGCAUGGCUGUCGUCAGCUCGUGUCGUGAGAUGUUGGGUUAAGUCCCGCAACGAGCGCAACCCUUGUCAUUAGUUGCUACGAAAGAGCACUCUAAUGAGACUGCCGGUGACAAACCGGAGGAAGGUGGGGAUGACGUCAAGUCCUCAUGGCCCUUAUGGGUAGGGCUUCACACGUCAUACAAUGGUACAUACAGAGGGCCGCCAACCCGCGAGGGGGAGCUAAUCCCAGAAAGUGUAUCGUAGUCCGGAUUGUAGUCUGCAACUCGACUGCAUGAAGUUGGAAUCGCUAGUAAUCGCGGAUCAGCAUGUCGCGGUGAAUACGUUCCCGGGUCUUGUACAUACCGCCCGUCACACCAUGGGAGCGGGUUUUACCAGAAGUAGGUAGCUUAACCGUAAGGAGGGCGCUUACCACGGUAGGAUUCGUGACUGGGGUGAAGUCGGAACAAGGUAGCCGUAUCGGGUGCGGCUGGAU